GACGAACGCUGGCGGCGUGCUUAACACAUGCAAGUCGAACGGAAACGCCCUUUCGGAGGUACUCGAGUGGCGAACGGGUGAGUAACACGUGGGUGCUCUCCCCUGCACUCUGGGAUAAGCCUGGGAAAAUGGGUCUAAUACCGGUUAGGACCGCACUUUAGUGCGUGUGGCGGAAAGGUUGAUCGGUGUUGGAUGAGCCGGUGGCCUAUCAGCUUGUUGGUGGGGUAAUGGCCUACCAAGGCGGCGACGGGUAGCGGGACUGAGAGGCUGGUCGGCCACAUAGAGUCUUAGGGGAGGCCCAAGCUGCGAAUGGAGGCAGCAGCGGGGAAGAUUGCUCAAGCAGCGCCAGCCUGAUGAAGCAGCGCCGCGUGGGGGAAGACGGCCUUCUGGGGGAAGAAACCUUUCUGCAGGGACGAAGCGGUUAAUGACGGUACCUGAAGAAGAAGCACCGGCUAACUACGUG
This 463-nucleotide ribosomal RNA is filed under the name uncultured bacterium. RNAcentral's name for it is "partial 16S ribosomal RNA". It matches the Rfam family "Bacterial small subunit ribosomal RNA", at positions 28 to 507 of the family's 1533-position model. The record is from RNAcentral.